UUGCAUGUUUGUAGGUACGUGGGAUUUCUGCUAAAAAAUGCAUCAUCAACAGCGGAUGGCAGCUUUGGGCACGGACAAGGAACUCAGCGACUUGCUGGAUUUUAGCGCGAUGCGAAACAGCGAUAUGAAAAUGUUCCCAUCAUCCAUGAUGUUUUCCCCUCCUGCUAGCAGUGGAAAGAAUGGACCGACCUCCCUGGGGAGCGGACAUUUCUCCGGCUCAAGUACGUCGACGUUCAUUGCUCCUUUUUUUUUUUUUACGUUGUACUUUUGAUAUUCUGUUUCCCGCCUGCUUGCCCGAUGGAUACCCGUGGUCACAUUAUGAGGCUUUGCAUAUCAUGGCAUGUAAAAAAAUAUAUAUGUUAUCAACCUAUUUUAUACCCCCAAUUCCGCUUGUUAUGCAACAUUAUAGUGUUUUUCACACACAAGCCAGCCAUGUUAUUAGGUACACUUGCACAAUCAAAUAACAUGCAAAUGAUGUGCAGUCAUUCUCUGUCACAAAGGCCUUUACUAUUUCUAUAUUUGGUUGCAUAUGUACUAGUUGUACUGUGUUGUUAUCCCAUUCUAGCAGACUAAAAUACCACAUUUGAGU
Long non-coding RNA from Entelurus aequoreus (snake pipefish), 589 nucleotides. RefSeq lists it as uncharacterized. The transcript has 3 exons. NCBI's taxonomy places the organism in Eukaryota, Metazoa, Chordata, Actinopteri, Syngnathiformes, Syngnathidae. The record is from RefSeq and is a predicted model, not a curated record.